Molecule: ribosomal RNA, 253 nt
Filed under: uncultured bacterium
Lineage: Bacteria
Description: partial 16S ribosomal RNA
Rfam family: Bacterial small subunit ribosomal RNA
Source: RNAcentral
UACGGGGGGAGCAAGCGUUGUUCGGAUUUACUGGGCGUAAAGGGCACGUAGGCGGCUUUGUAAGUUAGAGGUGAAAGCCCAGGGCUUAACCCUGGAAUUGCCUUUAAGACUGCAUCGCUAGAAUCGUGGAGAGGUGAGUGGAAUUCCGAGUGUAGAGGUGAAAUUCGUAGAUAUUCGGAAGAACACCAGUGGCGAAGGCGACUCACUGGACACGUAUUGACGCUGAGGUGCGAAAGCGUGGGGAGCAAACAGG